GCCCCGGUAAACGGCGGCCGUAACUAUAACGGUCCUAAGGUAGCGAAAUUCCUUGUCGGGUAAGUUCCGACCUGCACGAAUGGCGUAAUGAUGGCCAGGCUGUCUCCACCCGAGACUCAGUGAAAUUGAACUCGCUGUGAAGAUGCAGUGUACCCGCGGCAAGACGGAAAGACCCCGUGAACCUUUACUAUAGCUUGACACUGAACAUUGAGCCUUGAUGUGUAGGAUAGGUGGGAGGCUUUGAAGUGUGGACGCCAGUCUGCAUGGAGCCGACCUUGAAAUACCACCCUUUAAUGUUUGAUGUUCUAACGUGGACCCGUGAUCCGGGUUGCGGACAGUGUCUGGUGGGUAGUUUGACUGGGGCGGUCUCCUCCUAAAGAGUAACGGAGGAGCACGAAGGUUGGCUAAUCCUGGUCGGACAUCAGGAGGUUAGUGCAAUGGCAUAAGCCAGCUUGACUGCGAGCGUGACGGCGCGAGCAGGUGCGAAAGCAGGUCAUAGUGAUCCGGUGGUUCUGAAUGGAAGGGCCAUCGCUCAACGGAUAAAAGGUACUCCGGGGAUAACAGGCUGAUACCGCCCAAGAGUUCAUAUCGACGGCGGUGUUUGGCACCUCGAUGUCGGCUCAUCACAUCCUGGGGCUGAAGUAGGUCCCAAGGGUAUGGCUGUUCGCCAUUUAAAGUGGUACGCGAGCUGGGUUUAGAACGUCGUGAGACAGUUCGGUCCCUAUCUGCCGUGGGCGCUGGAGAACUGAGGGGGGCUGCUCCUAGUACGAGAGGACCGGAGUGGACGCAUCACUGGUGUUCGGGUUGUCAUGCCAAUGGCACUGCCCGGUAGCUAAAUGCGGAAGAGAUAAGUGCUGAAAGCAUCUAAGCACGAAACUUGCCCCGAGAUGAGUUCUCCCUGACCCUUUAAGGGUCCUGAAGGAACGUUGAAGACGACGACGUUGAUAGGCCGGGUGUGUAAGCGCAGCGAUGCGUUGAGCUAACCGGUACUAAUGAACCGUGAGGCUUAACCUUACAACGCCGAAG
This 1026-nucleotide ribosomal RNA is filed under the name Shigella boydii. Its description in RNAcentral is "partial 23S ribosomal RNA". It matches the Rfam family "Bacterial large subunit ribosomal RNA", at positions 1917 to 2925 of the family's 2925-position model. The record is from RNAcentral. Lineage: Bacteria; Pseudomonadati; Pseudomonadota; Gammaproteobacteria; Enterobacterales; Enterobacteriaceae.